ACGAACGCUGGCGGCGUGCCUAAUCCAUGCAAGUUGAGCGCUGAAGGUUGGUACUUGUACCAACUGGAUGAGCAGCGAACGGGUGAGUAACGCGUGGGGAAUCUGCCUUUGAGCGGGGGACAACAUUUGGAAACGAAUGCUAAUACCGCAUAAAAACUUUAAACACAAGUUUUAAGUUUGAAAGAUGCAGUUGCAUCACUCAAAGAUGAUCCCGCGUUGUAUUAGCUAGUUGGUGAGGUAAAGGCUCACCAAGGCGAUGAUACAUAGCCGACCUGAGAGGGUGAUCGGCCACAUUGGGACUGAGACACGGCCCAAACUCCUACGGGAGGCAGCAGUAGGGAAUCUUCGGCAAUGGACGAAAGUCUGACCGAGCAACGCCGCGUGAGGGAAGAAGGUUUUCGGAUCGUAAAACUCUGUUGGUAGAGAAGAACGUUGGUGAGAGUGGAAAGCUCAUCAAGUGACGGUAACUACCCAGAAAGGGACGGCUAACUACGUG
RNAcentral lists this ribosomal RNA (496 nucleotides) under uncultured bacterium. RNAcentral's name for it is "partial 16S ribosomal RNA". It matches the Rfam family "Bacterial small subunit ribosomal RNA", at positions 29 to 507 of the family's 1533-position model. The record is from RNAcentral.